This 503-nucleotide ribosomal RNA is filed under the name uncultured bacterium. Its description in RNAcentral is "partial 16S ribosomal RNA". It matches the Rfam family "Bacterial small subunit ribosomal RNA", at positions 30 to 523 of the family's 1533-position model. The record is from RNAcentral.
AUUGAACGCUGGCGGCAGGCUUAACACAUGCAAGUCGAGCGGGGUGAUGGUGCUUGCACUAUCACUUAGCGGCGGACGGGUGAGUAAUGCUUAGGAAUCUGCCUAUUAGUGGGGGACAACAUCUCGGAAGGGAUGCUAAUACCGCAUACGUCCUACGGGAGAAAGCAGGGGAUCACUUGUGACCUUGCGCUAAUAGAUGAGCCUAAGUCGGAUUAGCUAGUUGGUGGGGUAAAGGCCUACCAAGGCGACGAUCUGUAGCGGGUCUGAGAGGAUGAUCCGCCACACUGGGACUGCGACACGGCCCAGACUCCUGCGGGAGGCAGCAGUGGGGAAUAUUGGACAAUGGGGGGAACCCUGAUCCAGCCAUGCCGCGUGUGUGAAGAAGGCCUUAUGGUUGUAAAGCACUUUAAGCGAGGAGGAGGCUCUUUUGGUUAAUACCCAAGAUGAGUGGACGUUACUCGCAGAAUAAGCACCGGCUAACUCUGUGCCAGCAGCCGCAGUAA